RNAcentral lists this ribosomal RNA (483 nucleotides) under uncultured bacterium. RNAcentral's name for it is "partial 16S ribosomal RNA". It matches the Rfam family "Bacterial small subunit ribosomal RNA", at positions 28 to 523 of the family's 1533-position model. The record is from RNAcentral.
GACGAACGCUGGCGGCGUGCUUAACACAUGCAAGUCGAACGGUAAGGCCCCUUCGGGGGUACACGAGUGGCGAACGGGUGAGUAACACGUGAGCAACCUGCCCUUGACUCUGGGAUAACAGUUGGAAAAAGCUGCUAAUACCGGAUACGACCUUCGAUGACAUCAUCUGGAGGUGGAAAGCGCUUUAGCGGUCAAGGAUGGGCUCGCGGCCUAUCAGCUUGUUGGUGAGGUAACGGCUCACAAAGGCGUCGACGGGUAGCCGGCCUGAGAGGGCGACCGGCCACACUGGGACUGAGAUACGGCCCAGACUCCUACGGGAGGCAGCAGUGGGGAAUAUUGCACAAUGGGCGCAAGCCUGAUGCAGCAACGCCGCGUGCGGGAUGACGGCCUUCGGGUUGUAAACCGCUUUCAGUUCCGACGAGGCGCAAGUGACGGUAGGAACAGAAGAAGGACCGGCCAACUACGUGCCAGCCGCCGCCGUAA